ACGGUGUGGGGCAGCUCACCAUGCCUCCGCCGUUCGCGGUGAAGGAGUAGGGGUACGCUCCGAACCCGGUCUCCACCGUGUAGGGGAUGCCGGUGUCCCACGAGGUCCGGUUGGUAGGGAACACCGAGACGAACAUCUUCGCCGUUCCGGAGGCAGGGAUCAGCCGCGGCUCGAGGCAGCCGCAGGCGUGGUCGCGCAGCAGGGUGAGCACGUUGCCGGUGGGCAUCGUGCCCGAGUAGCUGCGGUCGUAGGCCUUCUCGAGGGGGGUGACCUGCGGGCUGUUCCACCACGAGGUCACGUCCUCCUCGGUAUAGAUGAGGCCCAGCUGGCUCCCGCCGCUCUGGGUGCGAGUCUGGAUGCUGGCGCAGUCCACCCCGCCGUCCGGCACGCAGAAGCCCAGCCGGAUGCCCAGGUCGUACGGCGGCGUGGCCCCCGCGGACGGGAUCCGCCACUGCCAGAAGAGCCGGGCCUCGGGAACCGCACCCACCGGAAUGUCCACCGCGUAGGUGUCCACGUCGUCGCCCCGCCCAUCGUAGUCCUUCACGUCGGUGAUCGACGCGAUGCCCAGGCUGGUGUCGGUCGCUCCGAUGCCGUAGCUCAGAUAGCCGGUGAGCGCGGUCGCGCCCACGCCUGCGCCCAUGGUCGCGGGACGCUGCGCUUCGGGGAUGGCCUCCGCAACGGGCUCCGGCUCUGCCAGCCACUGGACGAAGACGGUGUAGUCGGUGUCGUCCGCCCAGUUGGUCCCCUCGUCCUCGAACUGGAAGAAGUAGUCCACGUCGCCCGCAUGAGGCGGGACCUGCAGCACGCCCU
RNAcentral lists this unclassified non-coding RNA (810 nucleotides) under uncultured fungus. Its description in RNAcentral is "sequence contains 18S rRNA gene, ITS1, 5.8S rRNA gene, ITS2, 28S rRNA gene". The record is from RNAcentral. Lineage: Eukaryota; Fungi.